Passer domesticus (house sparrow) is the source of this 20972-nucleotide long non-coding RNA. RefSeq lists it as uncharacterized. The record is from RefSeq and is a predicted model, not a curated record. Lineage: Eukaryota; Metazoa; Chordata; Aves; Passeriformes; Passeridae. The transcript has 8 exons.
UCUGGGAUGCGGGGCAGCAGCUCGGGGCGGGCUGCUCUCGCUGCCCCGGGCUGCGGCCGCGGGCGGCGGGGGGCGGUGACGUCACAGAGCCGCUCGCCAGCACAGCGUUCCAUUGAGCCGAGCGCGUGCUCGGGCGAGCACAUGGGCAGCGGGGCCCGCUCCGCUCCGCUCCGCGCCCGGCCCGGCCCGGCCCGGCCCGGCCCCGGCCCGCCCGACCCCUGCCCGCAGCGGCGCCGCGGUCCCAACCCCAUGUGUCCCACUUGUCUGGAAUAACCUUUGGAGUCUGGCAGUCUGGUCCUUUUCAUAGCUCCGGAGGAUUUUUAGGAGCAUGGGGAGCAUGGGAUGCAUGGACCUGUGGACCCACAAAACCCUCUGGAAAAUGCUGGCUGUGGAUAAAAGCAUCUGCAAGUUUCUACCAUCUUUUUACUCUGUUUUUCCCUGGGUCACCCUGUGUCAUUUGUGGCCCUGUCCUGAGGAUUACAGCUUACAGUCACUUACUGGAAUACCUGCCCAUGCAUCUUCUUGAAAUGGAGCCACUGCUUUACCCAGCUGGAAGAUAUUUUCUGUUCUCCCAGAGCUUUUCCAGUGCAGCAGCAGCACUCCUGUCCAGCAGGUCUGGAUUGACUGCAGAAAGGAGAAGGGAGGAGCGUGUCAAAGGGAGGUCAGAUCCUGCCAGGGUUUCCUGGGAAAUGAGGUUUUGCUGUAUUUGCCUCUUCAGGCCUGAUGGGAGGAUUGUAGACUGCUGUUGUGCUUGGGAGUAUCAGAAGGGCUGGAGACUAUCUGGAAUAUGUUGAGGUGUAUCCACUGUUUGGAUGAUGAAACUUGAUGAGCUGCAAUUUGGCUUGGAUUACAGUACUUCAGAAGACUUUCUGAACUUGCCAGGCAACCCUCCCCCUAGACUUUGGGGACAGAGGAGCUUAAAUUUAUAUUUCCAGCAUCACACGAGGAGAUAGAAUGGAGUUGGCUGCUUUACACAAGUAAUGAAAAUCAAUGCUGUGUUGCUCUUGGAAGAAGUGCUCAAAAGGACAAAAGCCUGGCAUAUACAUCUUGGUUUAGAGACAGAUUUUACCUGGGAAGAGUGUGCCCAGGAGAAGAUACAAGAAGGAGAAGAGGUGAUGCUACAAGCCAGCUUCCUGACCUCCAGAGUGGGACUGAAGCUUUGUAGCAAGAUUUUCUAAGUAUGGAAGCUCUCCUGAGGAGCUGCAUUAUGCACUGCUGCCCCUGGGAUGGGACGCAGAGCAAGGAGUGAAGAAGAGCUGCAAUAUGCCACUGCUUUUGUGAGGAGAGGGGCUUUCUGGCAUGUCACAUAGUGCCAAAAGACAUUUUACUCUUGGCAGCAAAAAUCCUUAUCCUUCUUGUUUGUUUUAUUUUUUUCCAGGACAGAUGCUAUUUCCUGUUAGAGAUGCUUUGUAUGCAAAUCAAGGUGGUACAACAAGAAAAAAGUCCUGAAAGCAAUCACACUGAUAAACUCAGCCCACUGGGGAAUUCCUGCUUAUCAUUUAUCUUUUGUUUUUUCAGUUCUGUACCAGAUACUUCUUUGCCUGUGCUUUCUUACAGUCUUUAAUGUUUGUCCUGCCAGACCUCUUGCUUAUGAACUUCAGUGCUUGCAUUUUGCAGGGCUCCAUGUCAGUCUGCACAAAUGAAAGGCAGUAAGUGCUGGAAGUUGGGGUUAACAGUCUCUGUGUUUCAGCUUGAUCUUCCAUUGAUCUGGUGCUUUCUUAAGUUCAAGCCAGACAUGAGCCUCACACUACAGAUUGCCAUGUGCCUGUAGUGAUGAUCUACUGGAAAGGUGAUCACAGAAAUCUCAGGAAUAAAAUAAAUAUAUAAAAAAAAAAAAAAAGAUAAAAAUGAAAAAAAGAAGACAGCAAAAAAUUUACCUAGUAACUUAAACAGGAGCAGGAUUUGACCUGAGGCACCUCGAGAGAUGGUGUGGGUAGCACUGCACUAAUGCUGUAACAAGAGUUGAUCACCUCAUUGCUCCAGCAAAGCAAGCUCACACAGAAUCACAGAAUGGUUUGGGUCGGAAGGGACUGCAAAGAUCAUCUAGUUGAACCUUCUAUCAGACCAGGUUGUUCAGGGCCCCUUCCAACCUGGCCUUGAACACUUCCAGAGGUUGGGCAUCCACAACUUCCAUGGGCAUCUGCUCAGCCCGUGCCCUACAGGUGUCCCUAUAAGUGGAUGGGGCUGAUCAAAGCCUUGCUCUCACCAGGCUGCCACCCUGCUGAUGUUACAACAGUCUGUGAGGGUGAAAAAAAGACUCAGAAAGAGAAAAGGAUGUGUCAGAGCUGCAGAACGGUAUUGCCAAAGAACAUUCUCGUGCGUGUCCAGAGAUAGCCACUGCAGCCCAGGUCCUGUUGAAUCAUGCUGUGGUUGUUCUGGCCUUUGUGUGGGUAACAGUGAUAAUCACUGUGUGUGGUGUUGGGUUUUAUUAUUUUUUUUCCCCUUAAAUGUAAAAUUAACAGUCAAAUUAGCAUUGGUGAGGCAGCAGCCUGGUGCAGCUUUUAUCUAUCCUGAACCUGGGAACAAAGGAGGGGAGGAAAAUGGCUUGACCAGUUUGGCAGCCGUGCACGUAACGGUUCUGGAGUUCAAAGCAAAGGGCACAACAGUCAGAUACCCAAACCCGCCUGGGCUUUGGCUGAUAAGUCACAUUUCAAAGUAAAAGGCAAUCCUAUAGGGGCUCUGCUGAGUGCCUAAAGCUCCAGUGCUGAGACUUCUUUAAAAGGGGAUUUCAUAAGGAGUAAUAUGAACAGAAAUGGCUCUUUUGUGGUUUUACACAUUCCAGGCAUGCCAGGACUGUUCCUGUCAAGGAUGGGCAGUCUCUGGGGUUUUAGGUUCUUUUUAUUUUUUUUUUUUUGCCCCCAAAUAUUUACCACAAACUAGCAGCUGAAAUGGUGAAAAAUAAAUAAGAGUUGCAAAAUCAUUACAGUAGCAGUAAUGGAAACUGUGAGGCUUAUACUUAAACUGGCUGUGGGGUUUCACUCUAUCUUCUGCACUGUUGCUCUGUGAGGAUUACUACUUUUACCUGCUAUGAUCACUUCAGGGUGGAUAAUUUGAAAGAAGAGCUUUAACUGUUGGUUACCCAGGACCUCAAAAAACAGUGCUUUGGCUUUUGGCUUUUUCAGAAGCAAUGCCUUUUCAGCUGAACCACUGUUAAUUCUGAAUUCUUUCAAUCAGUGCAGUUAUGUGGCCGUACAGCAUCUUUAGUGAUGAUUGCUGCCGGUCUGUGUGUACAGAAAUGGGGCCCAGCUGUUCCUGCUUCAGGUGCACUUUUGUUUCACAGAGGUUGUGCAGGCUUAGAUUGCACCCGUACACAUUAACACAGAGUUUUAAUUGAUGUAAGAAUUUCAAUGCACAAUGUUGUGGUGCCUGUCAUCUUAAAGAAGAGCACCUUUGCUCUGCCUUGAAACAGUCUGAAGUUUAACAUGCAAUAGUACAUUAGAUGGUUUGUGUACACCUGCCCUGUUAGAUGAGUGUCUAAUUCAUAAGCCUACAUGUCCCGCUCUUUUCCACAUGGAUACUGCUCCUGUUGCCAUAGUCCUGUGUCUGGUGUAGUAGCAGGACCUCAUGCACAGCUGGGAAAGCCCCAGCCAGAGGUGUUCCUGCUAUCACCUCACAGAAGGUAUGGCUGUAACAAUUAAGUGCCAUUAAAUGUGUGCCUGAGCCUCCCUGAGACACCCUACACAGACACUCAGUACCUUUAUUAGCAGCACACUGCCCACAGCCAGCUCAGCACCUUCAUGAGCUGGAGCUGCACCUUUACCUGUUCUGCAGGUGACACCAAUCCUUCUGUGGGGGAGCAGAAAAUGGAGCCAGGUUCAUCGCAGCAGAGUCUGAAGCAUGGGACCAUAGAUAUCCAUCCUGAGAAUUUGUUUUCCAAGCCCAAGUUUGACUGGGGCACAAAUGCAGACAGAGGGUGAGAAAGCAUCUCUUUGAAAGUGGCAAUAGAAGAGACACUGUUGGAAUGAACCUUCUGGCCUGGUUUUAUUAAAUGUGAAUGUGGUUACAGGAAUGGUGAACAGGAACUGGAGUGGAUUUAGGAGAUGGUUCCUGAAGCCCCCUCCCAUCCUCCAGCACAGGCUGAUGUCACAGGGGAGUCUCAGGGCUGUUCCCUGGGCUGUUUUGGGCCUGUCGGUGGAGGAACUUAAUCACCAGGGUUGCCACUUACAAGAUACAAGGAAGAAGUGCUUGUGUUAAUUCUGUGCUCAACAUACAAACUUUUCGUCUUGGACAAAUUUGGUCUUCCAGCCUUCUGGACUGCUGCCAUUUUGGGUUUGGGAAAAAAAUAUUUUUUGUUCACCCAUCAGUGCUACCAACCACAUAAUUUUGGAGACAAAAAGUCAGAAGGGAAUGUUCAGCAGUGAGCUGCCUUUUUACUAGGCCGAUCUUUCAGGAGUUGGUUUUGAAGUGGAUUUUGUUCUGUCCACUUAAGGUUUCUGCUGUGGAAAUAUUUAUUGCUGUGAAACUGUGGUAAACUUUAUAAGUGGCAGGAAAAACUACUUUUGUAACCAAACAAAUGUGCUUUCCCUACAAGUCACACAGGUGUACAUUUGGAAUUUUUUGGUUUUGUUUUGUACCAGAGAAUUUUUCCACUGUGUUAUCUGGAGUGGACAAAUGAGUGGACCUUGCAUUUUAAUACAGAUUUCAUCCAUUUAAUCACAGCAGAAGCGUACAUAGAGAUUCUCUGUUUUUCUUCUGUUUCUGUGUAUUUGCUUAGUGUUUUGUGUCUUUGAAUCUCUGUUUUCCUUCUUUUUGGUGGUUUGAGAUUUUUGAUAAGAGAUGGUAAAAGUGCUUAAAAGUAUUAAUGUCUUUGGGAAGGCUAAAAAAGUUUUGCAGUGGUGAAGAGAUGCAAGAAACCUGUAGAAGAGCCAGAUUUUGACAGCAUGGGAAGUGGUUAGCGCCUCAUUGGACAUCCUCACAUCAAAGCUGGACAGUGGGCUGCUUGAGAUACUCUGUUUGAACCACAAAUUGCUGGGCUUUGGGCAGAAAUCACUGUAUGAAAUUCUGUGGUCUUUAUUAGGCAGGCGGACAGACAAAAUAAUUUUGCUGGUUUCUCUCGGCUCUUAGAAUUUAUGAAUCACAUAGUCAGGGUGUUCUUGGAGGGGGUUGAGUUUCCAUUAAAAGUUUGCCAUGGUAGCAUGCAGACAACAAAACCCAUCUGUUCUCUUCUCCUUUCAUCAUGCUGUGUUGCUUUCGAAUUGUUCCAGAAGGAGGAUGAAAUUGGGCUUGUUAUUUAAAUUUCAGUAUGGGUGGCCAAAGCAAGUCUACCUUGGUUAUUAUGGGCCUCCUGUGACCACAGGAAUGGAUGGUGCCUUAUGCCAGCCCUGAUUUAACAAACACUUGAGGACCGACUCAGCACUGCAGCAUAGCCCAUGGGAAUUGUGUGCCAUGGGAUCCUGCAGCAAGGCAGUGUCUGGGAAUAUCUGCUUGCACUCUUUAGUAGUAAGGAUAUAAUCAGCCCUUGUAGGCUGGUAUCUGAUUAAAUAGGACAGUGGGGGGGGGGAAAAACAACCCACACUCAUUUACGGUAGUAGAACAUGUGUAGUUGGGAGCAAAGAAUUCAGGUUCUGUCUGAGGUGUGUAUGAACCCAUCUGGGGAGCAGUGUCAGGGAGAGAGUCCAUGGGAUCCUCAUGUGUGAUCAUGUGAGUGAGCUCAUGAUGGAGCUGUGAGACAGAAAGGAACCCUGCAACUCUGGAGAGCAAGUAGGAGCAGUGACUUUGUCCGUUUAAAGAGGGACACGCUGCCUGCUGUCUGUACUUGAAGAAAGGAGGGGAAGUGCCAGGAAGAAUUCUUGGAAAGCCACAGAUGACUUGGGUUUGCUUUGACUCCAGGUGAGAGGAGUGCAAUUUGGUUAGCUGGGAUGAGGGCUGGUAAGGAGCUGACUUGACUGCCACAUCUACAGGAAGAAAGUUUUGAUCAGCAGGUUUGGGGUAAGGAGGAGCCCUUAGAAUUUCUAUAUCCUUUUCCAGAUUUUAGAGGAAAUGUCUCUCUAGUAUUGCAGGUUUAGUUUAAAAUAUUGGGCUUACUAUGAAGAGGUCUUGGGUGAAAGGGACUGAUAUGCAUUGUAGUGAAGGCAGGAUGGAUUUUUUGGGUAUUUCUGCCUUAAUGCUCAGAACUCUGGUACUCCCCAGCACCUUCUUCCCUCAAAGAAGGGAAGCACCUUCCACCCCUCCCUGGGGUAGGGAAGUUCUGCCACAACACUGGGCAUAGUGUAAACUGUCAGGACAAAACGCUUUGGAACCAUCUCAUCUCAAGACAGGUGUCUAAGAUAUCUGGCUUUCCCUCUGGCAAUGUUUGUUGCCCUGCAGCAGCUAUGUUGGAGACCUGAAAUCUGGCUGAGAUGUGGACUCCUGUGCUUUGGGUGUCUGAAACUGCGUGAGGUGAAUGCUCUUCUCACUGCCUGUGUGCAUGAUGAGGAGUUAGUGGAAUAAAGAACCUAACAAAGAGCCGUCUGACACCACCUGAGAUGAAAAUAAUAUGGAAAAUUUAAUAAGUUCUCUGCAGCUGAGCAGUCCCUGGAGGUCCUAUACCAAACCUGACCCACUUGCUGAGCCCCAGCAGUGCAGCACUGGGCACUCCUCUGCCUGCCUGCAGAAGAAUGAAAGGACAGCAGUAUGAAAAAAGACAAGUACAGGGGACAGCAGUCAGUGGUAAGUCUUUAAUAAGAAAAAGCUGGGGUAUUUUGUUAUUAGGAGCAAACACACCUUCUGCAGCAUUUCUCUUUGUGAGGUACUCAGAAAGGAGGGAGGUGUUGGCAGAGGUUUGUUUUCAAUCUGAUUGAAUGUUUUCCCAGUUCUUUCCCUGCACUCUAGGUCAUUCCAUCCCAGUCUUUCCAGCCAUGCCAUGUUGGGAAGCAGCUGUGAGCUCAUCCUCAGGGCUGAGUUCUAACAUGUAGCUGUCCUAGGGUCGACUGCUUUGCAGGGAUGGAGGGAGGGUUCUUGCCACUGGCAAGGAGCAGCAUGACUCUUUUACCAGUUUGCUGUCAGGAUGGCCUCCCAUGAUGGCUCAUCAUGAGCCCAGCCUCCCAUCUCUAAGCUUCCCAGAGAUGUUACCACUUUACCAUGGCUUCGAAUUAGGGCAUCUGAGUAAAUAAACUGCAGUUUGUUUUACCCAAAACUUCUGGGCUUUGAGAGGAUGAUAGCAGUGGAUUAUUAGUAGCAAACUAUAAUUCAUAUCCCCUUUCCAGGUAGAUGUUGCUGAGAAGAUGAUUCCCAUGUGCUCCUCAGAAAGGCUGCUGAGCUGCCAGACAAGCACCAAGCUUUCCCCUUCCUGUGUGUACCUGUCCUGCUGCUGCAGCCCUUGCUGGACCCAGGGAGGAUGCAAGGCUCUGGCUCUUUGAAUGGCUGUCCAGAAUAGUGAGGGAAAACUACCUCCUCCCUGGACGCAAACCACAUUGAUUUUCUGGUGUUUUUUCUUGUUGGUUUUUUUUUUCCUUUUGGCUGUCUGAAUAACUAAGUACAAACCUCUUUCACCCAUUUGACAUUAAUUCACUAAUGGAUGGCAGAAGGUUUCAUGUUUGGUUUUUAGCUGAAGAAGUGAUGAUGCAAUUAUAAACCUCACAUCUAUUAUAUAUCUGAACCAUGUGAAAAGUGUGAAUUUUUACAGAAAAUGUGAGAAUGGUGGGGGUUGUGGAAUAAACUUUUUUGCCUGAAUUUUAUUCUAAGUCUUGAAUGAAUGAGAUGUAUUUCAUGGGACUCAGCUGUGAUUUUUCCCUUUUGUUCCUUCAGUGUUGGGCUUUUUUGUUGGUUUUGUUUUUGGGUUUGUUUUGUAAUUAACAUAUUUACUCCACAAGUUAAAUGGUUUCUCAUAAAAAAGUUAAUGUCAAAAGAAAAGCGAGGAUGAGGAGAGGCCCGACAUUGGGUUUUAGUUAUCUCCUAUUUUUUCCUUUUAAGCUUCAGCAAAAUGGCAAUUGUUUAAUUUGACCGACUUUCAAAUCACAUUAGCAGAUUAAUACAGAAUAGGAAGGACAAUCACGUGAACUUCAAAAAUGCAGCAGGUCAGGACAGGAGAGAACAGCAGCAAUCCUGCUCUGACUGUCUGCCUAGACUGGGCUGUUUUAGUGUAUCCUACAACAUUUUUGUGUCACCAAUAACACAUUUCCAGUGACUGGAAGGGGAUAAGGAAAAAGGAGCCCCCUGUGCUCCUUCCCCAUUUUCCUUGGCUCCCUUUCAGGUGUCAGCAGUGUGCAUCUCACAGUCACUACCCUGCACCAAGCACUUUGUUCUUGUGUAGAGCACAUCAGUGCAGGUGAGUGCAAGAGGCUGCUUGCUCUGGUCCCUGAGCUCUGGAGCCUGCCAUAGUGCCAAGGCUGAGCACAAAAGCCUCACCCCGAGGGAGGGUACAUCUUCAGUUAGCAGCAGGGAGCUUGGUUGCAAUAUUCCAAGGGCCCACUGAGCUCAUUCACUUCUCUCCUUGCUUGUGGGAGGAUGGACCUUUGGCUAUGAUUUAUCCAAGAUUUACUAAGCUGCUCUUCUCCACAACAGGUCUGCCUUUGCAGGGAAGGCAUGACAGCAGCUUCCUCUGGGUUUGGAAAAGUCAACUCCACAGUUACUCUCUUCCUGGAGAAGCACAUUUGAUUUACCUUAGGAAAUUAGUGCUGCUGCAUUGACCUUGAUGGAUCUGGGCUGUGUGGUUUGUGUUUGGUUCAGGAGAGCUCAGUGGCAUUUCUGAAUCACUAUCAAAACAGUUCACUGUGUGAUAACUUCAGCAUUCCCAGCUUUGGCCUUUUGGCAGAAGCAGCAGUGCUUUUUCUUCCGUAAGUACAUGAUUUUUUUCUGGCACUUGUCAGGUGUAGGGAAGGGUGAUCUUGGUGUUGCAUCUCCUGAGCCUUUCCUCACUGUUAUCCUCAGCCAGCGCCUAGGAAAGAUGAGCUGGUUAUCUGUGAAAAAGAAUUGUUUCUGAAUGAUUGAUAUGUGGAAAUAUCCAGUCUCUGCCUGUCUGCUUUUCUCACUGUGAGACUAAGGCUUCACCUCUGUCUUCUGUCCUUAUUCCCAUUUUGAUGAUAGGAAACAGGCUGGCCAAGCAGCUGCAGAAAAGAUAGCAAAUCCAAGAAACGUGGGAUGCUGAUAUAUCUCCUCAGUGUUUGGAGUGAUGCUGCUGGGGGUGCCCAGUCUCAGGUGAGCUCAGGUGAGCUCUCUCCUGCCUGCCUGGGACCUUGUAGCCCCAGAGUAUGAGUUACUACCAAAAUUUAGCACUGUCUCAGCCUGGUCAACAAAGAAAUAGCACUCUCUGCUCAUAACUGGAGGGAGAUAUGGCUCUGCUUGGCUUCUUGAGAGCUUCCUAGAGUUUGUGCACAACUCCAUAUCCAAAGCCUGCCUUUGCCUGGUGCCUGACCACCAGGUGACAAGCAGAGGUACAAAAUCCCUGUCCCCAGCCAUCUGCAGAGAGAGGAGUUACCCAGGGACCAGCCCUGGCAUUGCUCCCUGAAGCUCAUGGAAGUACUACUGCUUCCAGAUUUCCUGCCUGUCCCCUGCAUGUCCAGUCAUGUUUAGCAGAUUGGGACUGGGAAUCAAAGGGAUGUAGCACAGUUUGGGGUCUGUGAAUGGUUGCAGAAAUCUGGGGUGGGGCGAUGAGAGCAAGGAGUGAUAAUGUGCUAAGCCACUGCAGGUGCUGGAUCAACAGAGGGUGAAGCAGCCCCUUGCUGCCCUCCCACCAGCAGGCUCCUGCAGAGAUGUGCAAUUCAAACAGCAGAGACCUGGGAGGUCUGCUGACUUGUGGCACCUCCUCUUGCCCUGGUUGGCAGCCAUUGUUGGAUGUGUUGCCUCAUGCCAAAUUUAUUCAUAGAUGCCUAAUCCUCUGCAGCCAACCAGCUUGGUGUCAAGGACUUCCUUCCAGGAGCCAGAUAUGUCAGUACCAUUAUACGUGUGGGUCUUGAGUGACUUGUGCAAGGCCAGGCAGCAAGCUUGUGGCUGAGCAGGUGUUGAAAACCAGCUCUCCCAAGCUUCGAGUUGGCAGCCUUUCCACCAGGAAAUCCUUCAUUUAACUUUCCACCACAGCAGAUGGGCUUGCAUCGAUGUAGGAGGGAAGUCUCCAUGUGCUCGUGCAUUUCUUCCCAUCCUUCUUCACCUUCUCACACUUCUCCCUGAAGGCAUCUUCUCUCAGGGCAAAGAAAUACUGUUUGGUGUCCAGGAGAGAGGAGAAAGGGAGCUGGAUUGCCUCUGGCACCAUGCACUGAAGAAAAUAAUGGAAUAGUUUUGGACAAGGUUCAAGGCAGGUCAUGCAAGUUUGCAAAUGGCUUCUGCAGUGCUCCAUCACCAGCUCUUAUCCAUGAGAGCCUGUCAGGUGUAGCAGCAGGUUUCUCUGCCACCCCUCACAUCUCUUUCCUUCAAAGCGGGAACAAACUGCCCUGGAACACGCUGACCUUUGGCAUAAUUAUUUCUGCUUUUUUUUCCCCCCAAGUCAGGGGCACCGGAGCAAAAGCUGAGGAAAGCUAAAACAACCUCAGCUUUUUGUCAGCUUUCCUUGCAACAGUGACAGGGCUGUUGUUCUGCUCUUGGCAUUAAGUAAGAAAUCAGUGUUACCAUGGGAGCAAACUCCCAAACAGGUGGCGAUCACACACAUAUUAACCUGAACCAGUGCAGGAGGCACCACGUCCCCCUGCGGAUCCGCCAAGGGUAGAGGAGAUCUCAUUACUCUUUGUUUGUGCUCAGAGUGUGGCUGUCCAGAGGAUGGUGCCCAAAUAGAUAAGGCUCUAGGCACAGAUGUCCGGUUUGAUUAUUCCUUUCCUUUUGCAACAAACCAUAUGGUACUGUGGGCAGCACAGAUAUCUGGCAAUCAAAAUUCCUGGGCUCCCUCCCUGACUCCGCCAUUCGCUCAUUUAAUUUUCAAAGUGGUUUUCAUGCAUCAGCAAAACUUGCUGCCUUGAACCUCCCCACCCCCUUAAAACAAGAGCUCCCCCACAUCACUGGAGGUGCUUUUAAAUAUGUCACCAUGUCCUGCUUUGCUAUCGCAAAAUUAGGUGCACUUAAUGCUGGUAAACUACUUUGCCACCAACAGAUAAAAGGCAUUACAGACAGGUUGCUAAUCAGUUUGAUUAAGUAAAGCACCUAAAGUUUGCCACUGCUGCAGGACGAUUGCAGGCUGAUCCAUCUAUAACCCGCAGGAGUAAGAUGAAUUAGGCAUGAUAAGCAUUGUUUGGUUUCUGGUGCGUCAACCAGUGAGUGAAAUGACUUGGUGUUUAUAUGCCAGGUCACAGAGAAAAGUUUCUUGCGAUUGGAAAUGAUUAGGCACACUGAUUAAUGCUUCCACUGCUCUUUGAUCCAGAGCUGCCAGUUGGAAUGAGUCUUGCUGCACGGAGACAUCCCAACUGCCUGGUAACGAAAGUGCAGGGGGUAGAAAAUUGACUGAGAAAAUGCGGGUGGGGAUGGGAAGGCUCUGCUCUAAGAUAGGCUCUUUUUCCAUCGGGCUCCAGGCUUGCAUUCUUUGAACCAUCCUCUUAUUCCUGGAAGUCAAGGCAGUUUGUAACUCAUAUUGUGCUUGUCAGGUUUAUUCAUUUUAAAGAAAAUGUUCAGGAAGAUUGCCAAGUCAUCUGAACUUCCAGCACUGAUAAGGACCUCUGGGUCUGCUAAGUUAAGAAGAAAACAUCCCAAGUCCAAGAAAAGCUUUAGAAUACAGCACUUUCUGAGUAGUCUCAGCUCUUGUGAAAGUUAUUUCUCUCAAUGUGCAGGUGGCAUCUCCUUGUGAUGGAUGUUCCUUCUUUCAGCCAUAGGAAUUCCCAUUUUUAACCCUCAAUUAGAAUACCUCCCUUUUAUCAUAGGUGAAAUAUUUGAAAUAAUUUCCUAUGACAGGACACAGGAAGAUUUGCUUGAGUAAGAGGAUUCCCCAACAUUUCUUACCAUUCCAACACCAGCACACCAUUUGUCUUCAUUAUUUUGCAUCUCCUUUAUACUUUGGGUUCUAUGGUUGAACCUCGAACCAGCUGGGGGACACAAACAUGGCUGCAUUGCCCACUACAUUCUCUUUACAGUCAGGACUGCAUUGUUUGUCAUGCUCAGUGUCAUACCUGUCUAUCCACACUUGGUCCUUCUGAGGUGAUGUCCUUUUUUUGUGUGGUUUGUGUAUAUCAGGAUGGGAUUUCAAUAAAAACCAAGCAUAACUUGUUAGCAGGUGGUGAAUGGUCACUCAAAAGAGCUCAGGAAAAUUAGGAGUGAAGACUCUAAAAUGUUUGGAUGUACCAAAGAGCUGAAUUUUGGGUGUCCACACCCAUGGGCAUUAAGCCAUUCCCAAAUCACUCUCUGUUUUAGGACAGCCCCAGAUCCAUAGCAACUUGCCUCACAAUUCUACUGGAAACCCAGGUGGUUGAGCAGCUACAGCUCCUUUUGUUCAGGGAAGGGAGGAGGCAGGGGCUGCCCCCUCCUCAGGCUACCCAAGGGCAUUCCUGCUGCUCGUGACCAGCUCUGUGCUGGCCACCUCUGUGAGCCCUGCCUGAGCACUGAGCAUUCUGGCCAUCCCACAUUUCUCUCUGCUUGUGUUUGUGCUGCAAACUCCUGAUUUUACAAAGCAUGGGAAAACUUUUGAGAUACUGGAAGUUUUCAGGAGAUGAGAAACCAGUGGAUGAAAACUGAUGCUCACUGGGGAUGUAGGUCAGUGUAAGGAGGAAAUUCUAAUGCUUUUUUAACCAAACUUCAGUUUCUUUGGGUAUGUCUGUGUUUUCCAUGUUUUGCCAAGCACAAGAGAGUGGUUUGCAGAGACCAGCAUUGAGAGCUUCUUUGACAUGGAAGGCCAUCUUUGACAUCUUCCUCUUGAGUCAAUUGGCUGCAGAGACACCUGGCCAGACACCUUCCCACCACCAUUUCACAUAUCCAGGGACUGUCUGUGCCUUCCCUGUACUCGCAGGCCUGGGACCACAGCUGGUCCCCAAACAGAGCCUCUGAUCUCUGAUAGCUCAUGAACUCACCCCAAGAUGGGCUGGCAGCUUUGGGAUUUCUUCUCUGCUCAGCUGUUUUCACAAAAUGCAUUGAAAACUUACCAGCUCAGUUUACCAUGUCAGUUCUCUGACAUGUUUGGUUCCUUCCAGCCAAUGUAUUCAGCAGAGGGAGCAUGGAUGGUGAAUUACUGGAUAUUUUUAUAUGGGAAAUUGGUAUAAAUGUAAGUAUACAUCAGUUUCCUGCCUUUGUGAAGUUGUGCUUCAUUCCUGUUUUCAAGCCUGUGUUGUCUUCCUGUGCAUGGUCUGAAUCAGUUAAUAUCUAAUUGCAGAUCAUUUUUUUCAUAAAAAUAGGUGCCUACUCUGCCUGUUUUCCAAUUUCCAGGUGGCUCCAUGGUGGCUGCUUGGUUGCUGCCUGCCCUGCUGCUAAUGUUCCUGUUUUCCUCCCCAGCUUGUAUGGCUGCCCUGGCAUGUUGCUGGGACAGGGAGCAGUGACGCAGGGUCUCCUGGAAGCCUGUGGAUGGGCCAAGUAAAACACAGCUGGGCAUCAUCCCAAGUACCUCAAAGACUGCUGCACCGAAAUUACCUGUUUCUGGUCUGUCUGGAAAGGGUCAAUAGAAAACAAGAUUCCAUUGGAACACUGAAACAUGUCAUUGCAACACUCGUGGUCAGUGUUAUGUGAGUAUACAUUAAGAGUCAGCUGAGUCUAAAUAAACAUGCAGAAUGCCUGGUUUUGGCUAAACAAGAAGUGCCAGCUGUUUGCACCGGUGUUUCCUCCAUGCUGUGGGCUACCUGCUGGCUUUGCAGAGGUGGAACAGUUUUGGGUGUCAUUUACUUGAAGCACUUUGUCAUGCCCUCCCACAAGCCCUCCUUCCCUCUGUCUGGCUGCUUGCAGGUUUUCAAUGAAAGGCCCUGUUCACACAUGGAGAACCCAAAUUAUCUCUAAAUAAACCAGUAUAUGUGGAGAGUAAUUCACGAGCACUUCCAGCACGGUGAUAAAUGGCAGGCAGGGCCACUGUGUACAAGGUGGCCCCUCAGGCAUAUGUCUCAAUCAAGUUGUGCAAAGAUACUGUAGAAGGGUAUUUAAACCUGACCUUAAAAUAAGAGCUGUGUCUUUUGGAGCUUUAGAGACCAGAUUGUAAGUGACAGACAUGCAGUAUUUGAUCUGUCACUUCUUGUCUAACUUUUUAUUUCCAGAACUUGACUCAUCAAGUUUUCCCCACUAUUUCUCCCCAUAUGACUACCAGUCUACUUCCUGAAAAAACAGCAGUCACCUUAGCUUCUUAAAGACACCUUAAACAGGCAGGUGUGAUAAAUAAUUACAAUACAUUUGAAAAGUUUGUGAACUGGCCAUCUGUUUUCAAGCCCUUGCUGACAAAAUUCUAGAAGUCCAGUUGAGCUUUGCCUUAGCAGAUGCUAUUCUUCUGUGAUGACCAAGAGAGAGGAGGAAAGUCUGCAAAUGCAAGAGCUGUAGGAGGUUGUGGCCAGCUUUAUCCCAGCAGAUUAAAGAGGGACAAGGCAUAACCCUGGGCACUGGUGUAUAGCUGUCCAUUCUGUAAGCUGUUAGCACAGCUCCAGUCCCAGCUAGAGCUGCUCCAGGCAGUGCCUGGGCACCAUCUGUGGAUGCACACUGGCCAGAGGCCAUCGCCAGCAGCAAUUAGGCAGCAGGCAUCUUGUUCUGGGGAUGUGAAAGGGCUUGGCUGUCUGGAUAUGAGCAGCUGGGUAGUUGGUUCCAGUGCCAAGGGAUGGAACCAACUUGUCUUAUUUACAUGUAUGAACAAGAUGAAGGUUUUGGAGUACAGGAGCCUCAGUGGUGAGGUAGAACAGAUGUGAAUUUUGCAAUUUCUAUUAAACUUUACUUCUUUCAGAUACUGUCUCUCUUGAAAAUCCUGUGCUUGCUGAAUUUCCAUUACUGCUCUCACAUGACAAGGAAGGAAAGAGACCCUUGGACUUCAGACAGUAGACAUAAAAUAAUGUGGAAGAAAUGUUAAAUGACAGGAGGAGUUUUGUUCUGGUGUACAGACAAACUGUAGGAGAUUCAUAGAUCACUGAUGAUACAAUUUGUGAGAAGAAGGCACAGAAGGAAAGACAGCUCAAAAUUAUGGGAAUAUUAAACACAAAUAGUAUCCAACCUGAUGUGCAGUGUCUUACUUGUCACAUAGUAGUGUCUGCUAUUUCUGUACACAUCUCUACUAGUGUCUGUUUUAUUAUUAGGAAUAAUAAAAGACAUCCACUGUAGUCAAACUGGUCAUGCUUGUUGUUGAAAAAAAUUACUGUUUUUCUGCCCUUAAAAUUCUAGCUGGAAUUGAUCUCAUUCAAUGCUGUAAAGCUCAUCCUUCAUAAACAAGCAGUCUUGGAAUCCAGCACGGAUGAGUUAUAGAUGAAAUGUAUUUUUGCUCAUUGUGUCAAUGCAUUGCCUGUACUGGGGAACCAACAUUGAACACAAUACUCCAGAUGCAGUCUCACAAGUGUCAAAAUGAGAAUUAAAACUUCUUUAACUUACACAGUUGUCUGACCAUAGGAAGUAGCCUGGUUGGUCAGCCAAGAGAUCAACAGCACUCUGCUUGUCUACACCGGCAUGAUGGGUUAUCUCCAGAGGAGCUGGCAUGUCUUUGGCUAAGGCACUAAGCUGAGAAAUGUGCCUGGCUUGAAGAGUAGAAGGUGGACCUUGGUCCUUCCUGUUUGCACCACACUGAUGUAUCUUCGUGUCCUGUUGAAAUGUACUCCCAUGAGCAUAAGAUGCCUGGUCUAAACAAAGAAGGAGGCAACAGGGAUUGUUUUGGUAUCACAGAGGGCUUAGUGUAUAGGAUGGUUCUUUCUCUGUCCUGAAUGUUCUUUGAACUUAUUUCUGAAUGAAACCUCAUUCAGUUUUUUAAUCUUCUGCUUUUUAAUAUUAGACCUGAAGAGACAUGCAGCUUGACUGAGGUGCUGUGCUGUAGCUAAACUGCUCUGGUUAGCAGAGCUGUGAAAGAUUUUGCAACAUUUGCAGCAUGGUAAAGUGAAGAACCAGGUGAAUAAAUGAGUAGCCCUAAAAUGCUGAAAAUGAAUGCUCUGUGAUGGGUUGAGGUGCUUGGGGGAAAAAUCCCCCCUUUCCUUGCACCCCCAUCCUUUCGUUAUGCUCACAGUGAAGGGGAUCCUUACAGGGGGAGGUACAAAGCUCUUGUCACGUUCCCAAAUGUGCACUGAGCAACCCCAGUGCCUCUCCUCUCAGGCUGGGAGGUCUGAGCACUGCCAAAAGCUUCUGGCCCCCUCUCCCAGCCUGGAGCUUUGAAUGAAUAUCGUUGGCUCCAUGACACUGCAGGUCUGUUGACUUGUGUUUGUAUGUUUGUGCUGGGAUGUGUGCACAACUCAAAAGCAGGUCUGAGGUUAAGUAAAGCCCCUUGCUUGGUGGGGAACCUUGAUCAACAUGUCACAGAACGUGACAACUUCCAUAAUGGUUUUUAAAAAAUGUGUACAGGGUUAGCUGCCAGCUUCCAGGGAGGGAUAUGUGUAACCACUUGAAAUAUUCGACCUCUGAGCUCUGCCAUCUUCUCCAGAGCAGUUUUGAAGACUUUGUUUGAUUUCUCUGUGCCAGCCAGUUACUGUGCUAUUUAUCUGACAUCUUUGAGUUUUGUGUGGCUUACUGAAGGGUUUUUCAUGUCAGAGACUUAAUAUAGGUUUUAGUGUUCUGGUUUUUUUGCUAGUGUUCUAACUGAAAAAGAAUUGUUGGCUUUCUUAAAAUUUUAUAUUAUUUCUGUCUAUAUUUAUGUCUCUGUUUAUGGGCAGAUAUUUAAUACUUUUGAAAAUUUACUCCUUUUAUCAUGUCUUAAUUCAGGCAUCUAAAACCAUGGCCCACUGUGAAUUUAGGCCAAAAAGCCCUGCCAUGACAUGACACAGUUUUCUCUUGGUUGGCCACACCACUUAGCACAGAUGAGUUUGGAGGUGGAUGGGGAUUAUGGAGAGAUCAUGUCUUAAGGCUGUUGUGGUGACUUAGUUCAGGUAUCCUCAGAGACUGAAUAGCUGAUGGCUGCUUCAGCAUGGGAAGAAUGGUCAAGUCUGGAUAAUGCCACUCUGAACCUCAUCUGGCCUCUGGUGGUACCUUGCAAGCCUUGGGUUUCAGAGGACUUCCCUGGUGUUUGAGAUUCUCAAAGCAUGAAGAGCUGCUGAGCUUUGAGGGUGCCACCACUGACAGAAAUGUGGUGUUCAACAAGAGCCUGAAGAUAUUUCCUCCUUUAGUCCCUUGUCUAGGAUGCAAAUGUGCCACUUUUCCCCAGACUGGGAAAAUGUUUUCUUCAGUCACUCAAAUACCAGAAAACAAUGCAUUGGAGAGCAAGGGUUAGGGGGAACUCAGUCUUGCCAUCUUCCCAGUGAGGAUAUAUCCCUUCCUUUUCACUUGUGUGUUGUCCCUGAAGCUACAAACUCAGGUUGCAGUUGGAUAAGUGCUUACUUAGUGUAACACUGAACUGUCUCUUUCAAGGGCUUAUAGUACUACGUUGAAUUAGGACUUUAGAAAGGUAAAAGCCAAGCUCCCUUUGCCAAGAGAAGCUUCCAUUCAUAGAGUCAGGAAGUGAUCUGACAUGGACACUGAUGACCUGCUUUGUUAUCUGUAUGUGAAAUCUGGCUCUGCUGAAACCAGUGGCAAAACUGCCAUUGAUUUUAAGAGUUAUGACUUUCAUUUUCUGUAUGUUUAUUUGCAUUACUUUUUUUCCUGUAAUGUUUGAUAUGUAGGCAUAGAGGUCAGGAGGAAAAUACUGAUAUGAUUGAGACACACUUUCCAUUAUGGUAAGGGGUGGGCAGAUGUCACUGUGGGAAGAUACAUUCAGAGUUUUGCCUAGCACUUUGAAAUGCUUUUGAUUUUUCCUACCUACCAUGCUUCAGCCUUCCAGGUUAAACUUAAAUGUGUAUGAAUGGCAGGUCUUAUUAUUUUGAGUGUUCUGUGUUUUUCUUCAUUAUUUAGAUAUCAAACUUGCAAAACAUUCCUUUUAGCAGGGCAAUUAUCCUCUACUGGGUCUUAAUGAGACCAGUGCUUCCUUUCCUGGGAAAGUAUGUGCCUCUGGUGAGAGAAGCCCACCUUUCACAAACCACAGCUAAAACUUGUUUUUUUAACUGAAGCACAAAGCACACAGCCACUUGUAAAUGUCAGUUUCCUUAGCAUGAAGCAAAUAUACAUUUUGGAAAUGUGGGACAGAGAUGUUUUGAUGUGGGUCUUGAACAGGGUUUCAGUAUAGAGAUAGCUCAUCUUUAAUUUAUGGUUACAUGCAAUUGAACCAUUCCAGGAAAAGCCAUUUUGUGGUUCUUGGGCCAGGGAAGAAGAAGAAGAAGGAGGAUAAAAACCUUCUACCCUAAACAGGGUAGAAGGACAGACAGGACAGAUCUAUGUUCCCUAAAUGAAAACUUAGUAAAGACCUCUUAAAAUAUUUCUCAUAAUUAAAAUCACUGAGAGAUUUCUGCUAAAACUCUUUCAGGUAUCAGCUCUUCUUUCUCUGGGAAAAAGAGAAAAACUCCUUUUUUUUUUUGUUUGCUACCUCUGUUGCCACAGGCAAAUUCAGUUAAAUUCAGCUGGCAGCCAGUCACCAGUGGUGUCUCCCAGGGCUCAGUACUGGGGCCAGUUCUGCUGAACCUCUUUAUCAAUUACAUUGAUGAGGGGAUCAAGGGCACCCAGUAAGUUUGGGUGAAGCUGGGUGGGACUGUUGACCUGCCAAAGGGUGGGAGGGCUCUGCAAAGGGAUCUGAGCAGGCUGGGUUGAUGGGCUGAGGUUCAACAAGGCCAAGUGCCAGGUCCUGCACUUGGGUCAUAACAACCCCUGCAGUGAUACAAGGUAGGGGCAGAGUGGCUGGAAAGCUGCCCAGAGGAAAAGAACCUCUGAUCAGCAGUGGCUGAACAUGAGCCAGGGUGUGCCCAGGUGGCCAAGAAUGCCAAUGGCACCUGGUCUGCAUCCAAAAAAGUGUGACCAGCAGGACCAGAGCAGUGAUUGUCCCCCUGUGCUGAGCACUGGUGAGGUCACACCUCAAUCCUGUAUUCAGUUUUGGGGCCCUCACUGCAAGAAAGACACUGAGGUGCUGGAGUUGGUCCAGAGAAGUGUCAUGGAGCUGGGAAAGGGGUUGGAGCACAAGUCCUGUGAGGAGCAGCUGAGGUAGCUGGGGGUGUUAAGCCUGGACAAAAGAAGCCUUGUCACUCUCUACAACUCUGUCAAAGGAAGUUGUAGCCAGGUUGGAGUCAGUCUCUUCUCCUAAAUAACAAGCAAUAGGACAAGAGAAAGUGGCCUCAUAUUGUGCCAGAGGAGGUUUAAAUUGAAUAUUAGGAAUAAUUUAUUAAUUUUUUUCACUGAAAGGGUGUUCAAGCAUUGGAACAGGCUGCCCAGGGAGUUGGUGAAGUCACAAUCCCCAGAGAGAUUUAAAAGACAUGUAGAUGUUGCACUUUAGGGACACAGUUUAGUGGUGGACUUGGAAGUGCUGAGUUAAGGAUUGGACUCAAUGAUCUUAGAGCUCUUUUCCACCCUAAAGAAUUCUAUGAUUUGAAGAUGUAGCCACAGGUUUUAAUCUGAUUAUGAGACCUGCUGCAGGAAAUUCUCUGGCCUUUCUUGUGCCCAGUUUUGACUCAGUUGAUUCAAAAUGGCAUUUUUUUUGCCUGAAAAGUCAUCAAUCAUUUGAGUCCAGCCAAAAAUUUUAGUCAUGUGGUAUGUUUAUGGAGAGAGUUACAGUCUUUUAGGAGUCAAAAACAUUUUAUAAACAGUAAUUGGUUCAUGACUUCCUUCUACACAUAUGCAGCCACCACUAAGGAUGAGGAAUGUCUUGGGUUUUUGUAGGGGUUAUCAAUAGCAAAGAUGUAUGUAGGCAGCACACAAUCUUAAAAAAACCUGGAUUUUAUCAUAACUUUAUAUUCAUCCUUCUAAAAGAGCUAUGGAAUUUUUUAGGAGUCUGUACCUGUUGGUCUGUAGGCACCAGCAGUGAUUAUAGAAUCAGAGCAUCAUUAAGGUUGGAGAAGACCCCCGAGAUCAUCAAGUCCAACCUUUGACAGAACACCACCAUGCCCAGUAAACCAUAUCAUGAUGUUCCAUGUCUACCCAGGGAUAAUAAUUCCACCACUUCCCUGUGGAGCCUUCCAAUGCUUGACCAUUCUUUCAGUAAAGAAAUUUUUCCUAAUGUCCAACCCGACCCUCCUUUAGUGCAACUUUGGGUAAUUUCCCAAUGUCUUAUUUCUAGUUUUGAUUGUUUUGGGGCUAGUGCUACUGUUCCAAGAGUGGUAACACAUUGCUGGAUUAUCAUUACCUUGGCCUGGAAUAUCUCAGUGCUCUUUGAUCAGCAUUUGGGUGAGAGAAAUUUCAUUGUAGCCCGUGUCUGGCACUGCAGGUGCCUGUGUACUGCAAAUACAGCUGCGUGUCUGGCAGCACUGCCUGUGUGCCUGUCCCUGCUCAGACCAGCUGCCUCGGGCUCCUUGCUGAAGGCUCUCACCUCAAGCACAGAGCUGUUCUGCACUGUGGUAUAUUCAGCCUUUACUGAUGCUCUCCACGGCUUCUCCUGACAGGAAAAUGGGUCCUUGGCUAAUCUGUCAGAAAUUGGCUUGUCCUAAAUCAUAGGAACAGUGAAAAGCUUGUAAGGCUGACUCUAUCAGUCAGCCUUUCCUUAUUUCUAUUACAUGCAGCUUUGCUUAUGUCUCUGACACUUUAAGGAAUAUUCAAAUUCUGCUCUUAUUUUCUUUUUCUUCAGACCAACUGUCUUUGGGUCUGAUCCAGACCCCAGUCAGUUUGAGGGAAGUGUUCCUAAUGCUAUUGGCUGUCUUUGGAUCUUCUCCAUCGCUUGCAUUGCUCUUUAGUAAAUUGGAGGCACACGAUUGACUUCUUAGAAAGCUGAUCUCAGGAAGGUAGAAAUCAAAUAAUUCAGUGUAGCGCCUCAGUGCUCUGCUUGAAACAGAUCUGUCAGAGGGUUGCUCACCCCAAAGAAAGAGAUAACAAAGGAAGGAUUUUCUCCUGAAUAUAGUAUGGUUUCUAAUAUUUUCUAUUAAAUACAAUCAAAUGGAAAAUAUAAAAGAGAAAGAAAUCUUUUUGUGCAGCUUGCUUCCUCUGCACCACAGACAAAUUCCACAGGAUCAAUUACUUACAUCCCUACUUGCUAUAAUAAAAGACCUAAAAACGUA